RNAcentral lists this ribosomal RNA (207 nucleotides) under uncultured Comamonadaceae bacterium. RNAcentral describes it as "partial 16S ribosomal RNA". It matches the Rfam family "Bacterial small subunit ribosomal RNA", at positions 568 to 774 of the family's 1533-position model. Lineage: Bacteria; Pseudomonadati; Pseudomonadota; Betaproteobacteria; Burkholderiales; Comamonadaceae. The record is from RNAcentral.
UGCGCAGGCGGUUUUGUAAGACAGUGGUGAAAUCCCCGGGCUCAACCUGGGAACUGCCAUUGUGACUGCAAGGCUAGAGUACGGCAGAGGGGGAUGGAAUUCCGCGUGUAGCAGUGAAAUGCGUAGAUAUGCGGAGGAACACCGAUGGCGAAGGCAAUCCCCUGGGCCUGUACUGACGCUCAUGCACGAAAGCGUGGGGAGCAAACA